AAAAAGCUCGUAGUUGGAUUUCUGGUGGGAGCGGUCGGUGCGGUCCUCAGGAUUGCUACUCGUACCGUCUCUCGUCAUCCUUGGGUCGAUCCUGUCUGGCAUUAAGUUGUCGGGCAGGGGAUGCCCAUCGUUUACUGUGAAAAAAUUAGAGUGUUCAAAGCAGGCUUAUGCCGUUGAAUAUAUUAGCAUGGAAUAAUAAGAUAGGACUUCGGUACUAUUUUGUUGGUUUGCGCACCGAUGUAAUGAUCAAUAGGGACAGUUGGGGGUAUUCGUAUUCAGUUGUCAGAGGUGAAAUUCUUAGAUUUACGGAAGACGAACUACUGCGAAAGCAUUUACCAAGGAUGUUUUCAUUAAUCAAGAACGAAAGUAUGGGGAUCGAAGAUGAUUAGAUACCAUCGUAGUCUAUACCAUAAACUAUGCCGACUCAGGAUGGGCGGGUGUUGUAUGACCUCGUCUGCACUGUAUGAGAAAUCAAAGUCUUUGGGUUCCGGGGGGAGUAUGGUCGCAAGGCUGAAACUUAAAG
This 523-nucleotide ribosomal RNA is filed under the name uncultured eukaryote. Its description in RNAcentral is "SSU rRNA". It matches the Rfam family "Eukaryotic small subunit ribosomal RNA", at positions 621 to 1149 of the family's 1831-position model. The record is from RNAcentral.